This 324-nucleotide ribosomal RNA is filed under the name uncultured eukaryote. Its description in RNAcentral is "partial 18S ribosomal RNA". It matches the Rfam family "Eukaryotic small subunit ribosomal RNA", at positions 1470 to 1796 of the family's 1831-position model. The record is from RNAcentral.
CCCUUAGAUGUUCUGGGCCGCACGCGCGCUACACUGAUGCAUUCAACGAGUUUCUUCCUGGUCCGAGAGGAAUGGGUAACCUUUUGAAAGUGCAUCGUGAUAGGGAUAGACUAUUGCAAUUAUUAGUCUUCAACGAGGAAUUCCUAGUAGACGUAGUUCAUCAGACUGCAUCGAUUACGUCCCUGCCCUUUGUACACACCGCCCGUCGCUCCUACCGAUUGAAUGCUCAGGUGAGCCAUUCGGACUUUCAUCAUGCUGGUUUCCAGUUUUGAUGAAGGAAAGUCUUGCGAACCUUAUCAUUUAGAGGAAGGAGAAGUCGUAACA